Drosophila pseudoobscura is the source of this 370-nucleotide long non-coding RNA. RefSeq lists it as uncharacterized. The record is from RefSeq and is a predicted model, not a curated record. The transcript has 2 exons. Lineage: Eukaryota; Metazoa; Arthropoda; Insecta; Diptera; Drosophilidae.
AUCGCUUCAGUAUAGUUAUACGUCGAUCGAGUUGCAUAUCGGGUCCGUUUGAAUACAUUGCGCACGGAGUGGCGCGGCGAGUGCUCUUUAGUGAAUAGCACUACUCAAAUGACUGAAUAGAAUGAAUCUAAAUAUGGAUAUCAUCAGAUCUCCAUCUCUUCGCGACAGGAGGGUUAAGAUUCGUAUAUCAGACAACUUGUUUAUCUUUGGAGGAACCAAGGAGGAACCAAGUCUAACGAUAUAAAAUCCAGCUACAAUGUUUUGUCUUUGGACCACGUAUUGGUUGGCAAACACAAUUUUUUCCGAUUGAAUGUACACAUUAUACAAUUAUUAAAAAAUAAAUCACAAUAAAUAAAUACAACCGAUUGAA